AAUCAACGCUGGCGGCGUGCCUCAGACAUGCAAGUCGAACGAUUAAACUUUCCUUCGGGGAAGAUAUAGAGUGGCGCACGGGUGAGUAACACGUAAGUAAUCUACCCUUGGGUGGGGAAUAACAUCGGGAAACCGAUGCUAAUACCGCAUAAUGCAGCGGCUUCUUAUGAAGACAGUUGUUAAAGCAUUUUAUGUGCCUGAGGAGGAGCUUGCGGCAGAUUAGCUAGUUGGUAAGUAAUGGCUUACCAAGGCGACGAUCUGUAGCCGACCUGA
RNAcentral lists this ribosomal RNA (273 nucleotides) under uncultured bacterium. Its description in RNAcentral is "partial 16S ribosomal RNA". It matches the Rfam family "Bacterial small subunit ribosomal RNA", at positions 32 to 295 of the family's 1533-position model. The record is from RNAcentral.